UCAGCAAUCUGAACAGCAAAACUGGCACCAGCCUGUUUCAGCUGCUUGCUGUUAAUGCUUGAAGAGAAGCAAGAUGCACUGAAUUGCAGGAUGGGCAGUGGCUACAGGAAACCUUUAACAAGGUGCUUCUGGGAUGUUAUCCAUUCUCUGCAGCAUCCUUAAACUCCAUGCUCAGGGUCAUCUUCAAAAGCUGAAUUUGCAACAGAGCUGCUGUGGCACUGUGGAUCAAACACAUCUGGACUUACUUUUAUGCCUCUGAGGUAAACAGUUGCCUGCUGCACUACAUAAAUAGUGAAAGAAAAACUCUCUUUCAGGAAAAGACCUGACCAGAAUGAACUGAGGGUAACCGCAGGCUGCUGAGGACAGCCUGGCACAGGCAGCUCCUGGGAGAGCACUACAUGUGCUGCCGUUUUUGC
This 416-nucleotide long non-coding RNA is filed under the name Parus major (Great Tit). RNAcentral's name for it is "lncRNA (ENSPMJG00000019300.1)". The record is from RNAcentral. Lineage: Eukaryota; Metazoa; Chordata; Aves; Passeriformes; Paridae.